RNAcentral lists this ribosomal RNA (1240 nucleotides) under alpha proteobacterium RBE2CD-26. Its description in RNAcentral is "bacterial SSU rRNA". It matches the Rfam family "Bacterial small subunit ribosomal RNA", at positions 85 to 1336 of the family's 1533-position model. Lineage: Bacteria; Pseudomonadati; Pseudomonadota; Alphaproteobacteria. The record is from RNAcentral.
CAGUGCAUCAGUGGGGAACGAGUGAGUAACACGUGAGCAACCUGCCCCGGACUCUGGGAUAAGCGCUGGAAACGGCGUCUAAUACUGGAUACGAGCUGCGACCGCAUGGUCAGCAGUUGGAAAGAUUUUUCGGUCUGGGAUGGGCUCGCGGCCUAUCAGCUUGUUGGUGAGGUAAUGGCUCACCAAGGCGUCGACGGGUAGCCGGCCUGAGAGGGUGACCGGCCACACUGGGACUGAGACACGGCCCAGACUCCUACGGGAGGCAGCAGUGGGGAAUAUUGCACAAUGGGCGAAAGCCUGAUGCAGCAACGCCGCGUGAGGGACGACGGCCUUCGGGUUGUAAACCUCUUUUAGCAGGGAAGAAGCGAAAGUGACGGUACCUGCAGAAAAAGCGCCGGCUAACUACGUGCCAGCAGCCGCGGUAAUACGUAGGGCGCAAGCGUUAUCCGGAAUUAUUGGGCGUAAAGAGCUCGUAGGCGGUUUGUCGCGUCUGCUGUGAAAUCUGGGGGCUCAACCCCCAGCCUGCAGUGGGUACGGGCAGACUAGAGUGCGGUAGGGGAGAUUGGAAUUCCUGGUGUAGCGGUGGAAUGCGCAGAUAUCAGGAGGAACACCGAUGGCGAAGGCAGAUCUCUGGGCCGUAACUGACGCUGAGGAGCGAAAGGGUGGGGAGCAAACAGGCUUAGAUACCCUGGUAGUCCACCCCGUAAACGUUGGGAACUAGUUGUGGGGUCCAUUCCACGGAUUCCGUGACGCAGCUAAACGCAUUAAGUUCCCCGCCUGGGGAGUACGGCCGCAAGGCUAAAACUCAAAGGAAUUGACGGGGACCCGCACAAGCGGCGGAGCAUGCGGAUUAAUUCGAUGCAACGCGAAGAACCUUACCAAGGCUUGACAUAUACGAGAACGGGCCAGAAAUGGUCAACUCUUUGGACACUCGUAAACAGGUGGUGCAUGGUUGUCGUCAGCUCGUGUCGUGAGAUGUUGGGUUAAGUCCCGCAACGAGCGCAACCCUCGUUCUAUGUUGCCAGCACGUAAUGGUGGGAACUCAUGGGAUACUGCCGGGGUCAACUCGGAGGAAGGUGGGGAUGACGUCAAAUCAUCAUGCCCCUUAUGUCUUGGGCUUCACGCAUGCUACAAUGGCCGGUACAAAGGGCUGCAAUACCGUAAGGUGGAGCGAAUCCCAAAAAGCCGGUCCCAGUUCGGAUUGAGGUCUGCAACUCGACCUCAUGAAGUCGGAGUCGCU